AAAGAGAGAGAAAAAAUGCCUCAGAGUUGAUUUUUUUUUCGUAGAGACGCAUCUCUCAAAGUAUAUUUAACACCAUCACAGGCAU
This 85-nucleotide small nucleolar RNA is filed under the name Arabidopsis thaliana (thale cress). Its description in RNAcentral is "ATSL012810". Lineage: Eukaryota; Viridiplantae; Streptophyta; Magnoliopsida; Brassicales; Brassicaceae. The record is from RNAcentral.